GGGGCACCUCACUGUCUGACGCUGGUGACUCCUGGUGUGAGGCUUCUGUGGGGGGACAUGAGGAAGACAGUCAGUAAUCAAAGCCCCUCAUCCACUCCAUCUCCUGCUAGAGACUGAGCAUCCUGGUAUGUUGCCAUGAGAAACCAGAUAGACAAGUUAGUGCACAAAAUUUAGUAGCCCUGGCCCUGGCCAAGAGCAACAAACUACUUAUAGAAAAAAAAGGCCCACUGAGAUAGCAGUUCCCAAAGAGUUUCACUGUGUGGCUCAAAGCAACACACACCUGGGGGAGAGAACGGAGAGUGUUCCCGGUGGUUGUUGUCCCGAGACUCCCCGGAGCUGCUCCUGUAGUCCGCGUUGUCACUGGCAUGGAAGGUGUGGUGCAGCAGCAGGUCUUCUCGCAGCUGGUUGAGGUGCUGCUGCUGACAAUUGAGGGUGUGCAGGCACUGGAAUGCAACCUGCCACACACAACCAUAGUAAUCAAGAUAAAUGAGGGUGAAGAAUACCUGCCACCAGGACCACCCACCUGAUGAAGUGGACAUGUAGGGAUGGCUGUGGGAGUGUGAGCGCUGCAGGUAGAGGGUGUGGCCGCGGGACACAGCCAAGGACC
Molecule: long non-coding RNA, 607 nt
Organism: Scylla paramamosain (green mud crab)
Lineage: Eukaryota; Metazoa; Arthropoda; Malacostraca; Decapoda; Portunidae
Exons: 4
Source: RefSeq, a predicted model, not a curated record